AAGUCGUAACAAGGUUUCCGUAGGUGAACCUGCGGAAGGAUCAUUAUUAAUUCUUCUAGUUGAGCGGCUGCGCGUUAAAAAACGCGGUCGUUUUUCUUGUGAACUGGGGCUGCUAGUGUAAAAAAGUUUACGCUUUUUUUUUCUGGCGGCCUGUCGUUAAUGCUCUUGUGUUAAAUUUUUUUGUUUUUGCUUUUUUAAGCUUAGCGGCUUAAGAAAAUAAUUACAAGACAACUUUCAGCAAUGGAUCUCUUGGCUCUU
This 258-nucleotide unclassified non-coding RNA is filed under the name Allomyces arbusculus. RNAcentral's name for it is "partial internal transcribed spacer region". The stretch from base 1 to 46 matches the Rfam family "Eukaryotic small subunit ribosomal RNA", at positions 1786 to 1831 of the family's 1831-position model. The record is from RNAcentral. Lineage: Eukaryota; Fungi; Blastocladiomycota; Blastocladiomycetes; Blastocladiales; Blastocladiaceae.